CCCGAGCGCUUGAGGUGCGCGGUGUAUUUCUUGUUGAAGUCGUGGGGGGCGACAUCCUUCACCGUGAGCGCCGAGGAGGCCGUGGCUGCGGUCUCGGUAGUGGUAGCCAUCCUGCCGCCUCUCGCCGAAGACACCGCUGUCAAGGAGGAAGUGGGAUGCACGCCGCUGCGGCUGAGAGGGCUAGGGUUUUUGAGGGAGGUUGGGGUGCGUGGGCGGACGAGGGAGGGAAUUUAUACUGGGGCGGAGUUGGAUUAUGGGCCGCAUCCCGCAUCAUGAAGAAGUGGGCCGGGUGGGAAUCCAAGGUUUAGACCAGGCCGAAGACAAAACUCUUCCAUACCCAAAAUAUUCCCUGCCCAAGAAAAGUCAAAGCUCCUCUCUCAAAAAAGAAGUGAAAGCUGCUAAAAAAAAUUCAAAGAAAGAAAAUUGGCGGCGGUGUCUGCUGGAUUUCUAGUUCGUACGUGGGCUCAUACGCCACACUAAAGAGGUGUAUGUUUGCGGAAACCGCAAAAGGGAUAAGAUAAACUGUUCGAACGUAGGUGAUGUUUAUUCCGUCGAAAUCGAGAUUGGGUGAAGUGGGGAGGUGUUGGUCAUGUGAAGGGGAACUGGCUCAGGGCCCAACACUUGUUUUGGAAGAUGGAGGAGAGGACAAGGGAGCUUGGCCUUGAGCCGCGAAAGGUUCGCAAGAAAAGUUAAAUUGGCACCAUGCAGAGAGGUUGAAAUAACAAGCCCAUUAAAGGUAAGAAAGAUUUAUCGAGUGGGCACAAUAUCAUGUGGUGAUGGAUAUCCUUGCUUGCCCGUCUCGGUGUUACUUUUUUCUCUUGAGCUAUCAUUUGCAAUCCCUGUUGGUAAUUGUUAUAAUGUUGUACUUUUUUAUUUUGUUUUUCUUUCCAAUGUACUUACUUCGGAAAGAAGUAGAGCCCAUCACCUAAGAAAAGAUGAUCUAAUGGUAGCUCUCGAUUCCUGGUGUGUCUGCCUAUCACCGCAACUCGUGAACUAUGAAAUUCUUCAAUUUGAGUAAUGCUAUUCAGGUGAGGAACACCCCACCCGCCCACCCACCCACCCACAGUUUGAUUCCGGAAGUAAGAAAUGUUACUCUUCGCAUGAUCCAUCAUUUGUCUGUAAAUUAGCUUGCUCCGUGUGCAACAGAUCCAAUCCCUUGUGCUAUGCAUUAAACAUAUUCUUGUGGAAAUUUUCAACUGCUAGCAAACAAAAAUACAAGACAAUGGACAAGCAAAUGUUUUCAAUACUAUGUAUUUCACACCCCUGAAAAAUGACAGUAGAACAUACUUUUAACAUGAAAAAAUAUAGAGAAAAGGUUCACUCUUUGAGAACUAACAUACAAAAUCAUUGUCUUCAGAGGUUACCAUGGAACAUGGCAACUUUAAGAUUUUACACACCAAGGAUCCAACUACACAAGUAUGGCAAAAGGUACAAAAGUAAGACUUACAAGACCAACCAUCCAAUUAUGCUAUAAUUACCUUUAAGAAAGAACUACAACUACCAUCUCAUUAUGCCACCUUUACCUUGAUAAAAACUGUAACUACCAUAUAAUUAUGCUAGGGUUACCACUAUCAAAGAAUUGGACAUGCUCUCUACUUAUGCUAUAGUUACCUCCAUCAAGAACUAGACCUACCAUCUGCUUAUGUUACCUUAACCAUUGUAAAGAAAUGCAGCUGACAUCUAUCUAUGCUACAAUUACAUAUGCGAUGAACAAAAACUACCAUCUAGUUAGGCUACAUUUUCCCUAGGUAAGAAAUGCAGAUACCACCUUAUUAUAUUACAAUUAGUACCGGACUAGCUGUCCUGUGUCCCAGCCAAGUCUUACGGUGCGGCGUUCAACACUUCACCACACAUGUACACGAGCAUAUGCCACUGUGAACCUAACAUUGUUUUUUGGAAAAGAACUAGUAGCCACGCUUAGAUAAAGCGAUGGCUACAACUACCAUUUUAUGGCUAAUAAACAACUCCCUAUGUUUCAAAAUAUAUGGUGUAUAACUUCCGUUGAUUAUCAAACUUUCUAAAAUUUGACCAACCAUAUAACAAAAGAUGUCAACAUGUACGAUGCCAAAUGUGGAUCAUUAGAUCCAUUGUGAGAUACAUUUUUAUAGUAUCUUGAUUUGGCAUUCUAUAUGUCGAUAUUUUCUGCUAUAAGCUUGUUCGUCAAACUUUAAAAAGAGUUGACACUCAACAAAAGUUAUACGUCCUACAUUUUGGAACGAAAGGAGUACAUUAGUAACUUAUAAUUGUGGUAACUUCAUACUAAAUAAACCGGCAACUACAACUAAAUAAACCGAUGAUAGGGAUACCUUAAAAUACAGUGACGUAAUUAUGCAAUACACAACCUGGAAAUCAGACUUGCAUAAAUUGAUGACAAGUGCCUACAAUUAUACUCUGAUGGCUUGAAAAAAGGUACUCCCACGAGCAGCAUAACUUGUCAAUCUUAUCCUAGACGAUUAUCAAUGCCAAAAUAACCUUUCUUGAUCUGUUUUUUUACCGAGCCUUGGAAUAUUUAACUUGGCCUAGAACUAUAAAGACCCAUGACAAACAAAUAUUGCUGCAAAUUUGUUUUACAUUUAAUUCUAACAUUCAUUUUUCGAUUACUUUUGAAUGUGUUGAUGAUGAAACUUGAACACACGAACAUUUUGUGGCCACGAAAGAGAUGUUGCAGAAAUGGACCGAAUUUCUAGUAUAGAAUGUGAACCAAAAUACAUUUUUUGCAUCAGUUCACUAAAUUAAUAACACCAAAAAACCUGAACAACAGGAAUGUAAGAAACCUAAAUCGUUAGUCCUUUGUAAACUUUGGAUCAGAACAGUGCAAAAUUAUUAGAACUCAAAAUCCUGUAUGUCCUUUGAAUUUGACCCACGGAAAUUAUAAGAACCAGUCUACCGGAGCCAAAGUAAGACCAUUGGAUUUGGACCAUAAACCUAGAAAUGGAAAACAAACCGAUGAAAAAUAAAGAACAACGCAAAUAAAUUAAGAGCAUCCCAUGCAUCUUCCGUUUUCUAAUCCAACAACUAAAUUAGGACACCUUGUAUUAUUUCAACUCCCAACAAACACUGGCACUGCAGUGUAUACUAUUGAUCAUUUUUGUAUGCGAAAGAUGAAACUGCCGAAGUCACAGGGGCACCAAAGGUUAAUGCUAGUGCAGGCAAAAAUUGACCUUAGUCGGGAUAUCAAGCAAGCAUAGCAUGGGAGCAACCUAGCAUCUAGCAGCAGGAAAAUAAAAGGGAUCAAGCACACCAAAUUGAGACAUUUCUUGCCAAUUGCAGAGAGCCUAGACAGCCGACUUGCGCACCUUCUGACUGCAGUGCAAGGACAGCGACUCGCCAAGUUCAGACAAGGAUACACAAAUGGAGGCAUGAAGCUAGACGCGAGCAGACUUGGGGUGAAUUUGUGUUCUUUCUGCAAAUGGACUUUAGUUUUUGCUCUAAUGCUCUGAUUGAUUAUUGGUGGCAUCGAGCUUGUUCCACCAUCACACCACCCAUCUCCUUGCAGCACCUAAUGGGCCAGCGCUGCAGCUAGUAGAUCGCCGUUGCAGGAUGUGCACACAGCGGCCAGAACUCCCUAGUCCUUACUUAUGACAUCCUCACAGGGAUUGGAGGAAAUUUGAGCUAAACUCUCGUCAAUCGUUCCAAAUCCAAACCGGGAUGGGGUUAACUAUGACAUCAUCACAGGGAUUGGAGGAAAUUUGAGCUAAAGUCUCAUCAAUCCUUCCAAAUCAAAACCAGGAUGGGGUUAAGAGUGUGAGGCCCUGCAAGUGUGAGGGAAGACGCCUGCUGCGGCCAUCAGUUUCAAGAGUGCCGCUUUUGGGGUGUUCAUUGUAGAGACGUAGAGACAAACAUGCAAGAACAAAAAAUUCAGGACCAGGAAAUCUAAGAAGCGCCGCACAUGAUGACUAAACGGCACACGUGUGGCAGAUGGAACUUUCCUAUAAAUAAUGGUAACUACACAACGGAAUAACCAUGCAUUAAAAUCAUAUACAAAAACUUCAAUAAUUGAAAAAAUGCAACCAAUCCACAUUCAUGACCAAAGAAUUGCAUAAUAUACCCACAAAAUAAAAGACUUGCAUACGCCAAGAGACUCCAAUACAAGGGUUCACAAACAUAGAUGGUCUGGCGGUUAACCUAGAAGCUCCGAAAAUAUCUCAUCCCAACAUAAUUGGACACAUCCCACGUUAACAUCUUUCAGGAACAAACACAUGGGUAUCUGGAUUCAAAACUGUAGCCAAAUUCUACUACCAAACAUUAAGAUAGUUUCCAUUGAUCAGAUUUCAGGAGCAACUGUUCCAGCAACCUGGUCAAGAUCACGCCUUCCCUGGGAGGUGAUGAUCCUUCCACUGCAACGGACCAUCAAGACAGAGCAUAAGCAAAUAACAAGGUUAUUCAUAAAGUUAACUAUGGCUAAGAUCAGAAAGCACAAAUGCAGCAACAUUACCCCUUGGGAUCAACGUCAAUGAUCCCCAUCUUCUGCAACUCCUGCAGGAUGUUGCGGGAAAUAGCACCACUGCUCUUGCAGAAGUGCGGGGGACGUGAGCCAUUCCUCUGUCGUCCACCGUAGAUCUUCUGGAAGCCACCGAUCCCAAUACCCUGCCUCAGGUAGAUCUUCCUUGCAAUUGAAGCUAUAAAUGAAAUCCAAAAUAAAAAUCAGUGUUUCCCAGAAAAAUCAUUUUACCUGUGGAUAAAAUCAGGCUAUAUAUUGGAAAUGAUAGAACAGGUUUCCUCACCAGCUCUGAUGUAAUACCAAUCGGGAUCAUUGGGAGGAAGCUCCUUGAACCUUGCAGUCUUGACAAUAUCAACCCACUCAGGAAGCUCCAUCUGCAAUACAUAUGAAAUUUUAUUUUCCCAAAAUUCUGGUACCUGAUCUAUUUGCCGUUCACCAAUGUAUGUAGCAACGCAAGUCACUGAAGUAAAUUUCCAUUAAUAAAAAUGCAUUAUUAGUUGGAAGAACUAGUGAUACCAUUGAAAUGCAAUGAUGUCUCAAGUUUGACAAAAUUUGGAUGUAUCCAGACGUGACUUAGUAUGUAGAUGCAUUCAAAUUUGGUCAAAGUUGAGACAUCCUUUGUUGGACGGAGGGAGUAUUUGCGUAGGUCACAAAAGUUGUACAUUGUUCCAUUUGUACAGCAGGCUCAAACAUUAGAUGACAAUGUCAUAGUGCUUCCAUUUCGUGCUUCCAUUUCCAUCAAUCAUCAGUUGACACAUAAACACCAACAGGAACAACCGUAGGCAAUAAAAGAGUUAAAAUGCUUAUAUGCAGGUUAAGUGAGACAUAAUUCGUUAAAUGAUUUACAUUCACAGAGAAGUGGUCAGACAAAAAAAAUGGCAUGAUCAACGUAUAUAAAUGCAACGGGGAAUCAACCGGCAGCAGGGACAAAAUGACAAAAACAAAACAAGCACCAUCAGGCCCUUACAAUCAAAAAGGAGAGCCACCGACAUAUUUGCAUGAGACUUAUUCUUUAAAUGGUUUACAUUGAAAGAGAAGUGGCCAGACAAAAAUAAUAAUAGCAUGAUCAGCAUAUAUAAUUGCAACGGGGAAUCAACCGGCAGCAGGGACAAAAUGACGAAAACAAAACAAGCACCAUUAGGCCCUUGACAAUCAAAUAGCUACUCGAUUUCGCACUACAUCCACAGUUGUGGUAUUGUUAAAGAAAUCAUCCGUGAUCCACAAAUAUUAGGCUAGGGACAACCAUUCCGAAGCAACUCCUACAAGGUAAGAAUGUUCCUACGUGGGACAGGCACUGUAAGCCUACGAAGCAAACCGAUUCAAAAGAUUCACAGGGAAAUACAGAUUAUACGCUUUGUCACACAUAGACCGGAUACAACACUCCCCUACUCGUCGACCCUAGCGACAGAUCUGAAAGAAGGGGCGUGUUACCUUGCCCGAGCGCUUGAGGUGCGCGGCGUAUUUCUUGUUGAAGUCGUGGGGGGCGACAUCCUUCACCGUGAGCGCCGAGGAGGCCGCGGCUGCGGUCUCAGUAGGGGUAGCCAUCCUGCCGCCUGUCGCCGACGACACCGCUGUCAAGGAGGAGGUGGGGUGCGCGCCGCUGCGGCUGCCGGGGGCUAGGGUUUUGUGAAGGGUGGGUGCGUGAGCGGAGGAGUGAGGGAAUUUAUACUGGGGCUGAGUUGGAUUAUGGGCCGCAGGUGGGCCGAG
Molecule: long non-coding RNA, 6148 nt
Filed under: Brachypodium distachyon (stiff brome)
Lineage: Eukaryota; Viridiplantae; Streptophyta; Magnoliopsida; Poales; Poaceae
Description: long non-coding RNA (BDIS_LNC004054)
Source: RNAcentral